This 426-nucleotide ribosomal RNA is filed under the name uncultured bacterium. Its description in RNAcentral is "bacterial SSU rRNA". It matches the Rfam family "Bacterial small subunit ribosomal RNA", at positions 354 to 796 of the family's 1533-position model. The record is from RNAcentral.
GUAGGGAAUAUUGCUUAAUGUGCGAAAGCGCGAAGCAGCAACGCCGCGUGUGCGAUGAAGGCCUUCGGGUCGUAAAGCACUUUUUAGAGGGAUGAGAAAGGACAGUACCUCUAGAAUAAGCCUCGGCUAACUACGUGCCAGCAGCCGCGGUAAAACGUAGGAGGCGAGCGUUAUCCGGAAUUACUGGGCGUAAAGCGCGUGCAGGCGGUUCGGUUAGUUGGAUGUGAAAGCUCCUGGCUUAACUGGGAGAGGUCGUUCAAUACUGCCGGACUUGAGAGUGGUAGAGGGAGAUGGAAUUCCGCAUGUAGUGGUGAAAUGCGUAGAUAUGCGGAGGAACACCAGUGGCGAAAGCGGUCUCCUGGCCCACUUCUGACGCUCAGACGCGAAAGCUAGGGUAGCAAACGGGAUUAGAAACCCGUGUAGUCC